This 466-nucleotide ribosomal RNA is filed under the name uncultured bacterium. RNAcentral describes it as "partial 16S ribosomal RNA". It matches the Rfam family "Bacterial small subunit ribosomal RNA", at positions 330 to 792 of the family's 1533-position model. The record is from RNAcentral.
CCCAGACUCCUACGGGAGGCAGCAGUGAGGAAUAUUGGUCAAUGGGCUUACGCCUGAACCAGCCAAGUCGCGUGAGGGAAGACUGCCCUAUGGGUUGUAAACCUCUUUUGUCAGGGAGCAACGCCGGCUACGUGUAGCCGGACUGAGAGUACCUGAAGAAAAAGCAUCGGCUAACUCCGUGCCAGCAGCCGCGGUAAUACGUAGGGGGCAAGCGUUAUCCGGAUUUACUGGGUGUAAAGGGGGCGCAGACGGCAAUGCAAGCCAGGAGUGAAAGCCCGGGGCCCAACCCCGGGACUGCUCUUGGAACUGCAUGGCUGGAGUACAGGAGGGGCAGGCGGAAUUCCUAGUGUAGCGGUGAAAUGCGUAGAUAUUAGGAGGAACACCGGUGGCGAAGGCGAUUCUCUGGACUGUAACUGACGCUGAGGCUCGAAAGCGUGGGGAGCAAACAGGAUUAGAUACCCGUGUA